AUGCCACGUUUGAAAACUGUCGUUUCUACUGUCCCUUUCCUUCACUACCGUCCCUUUCCUUUACUACUGUCCCUUUCCUUCACUACCGUCCCUUUCCUUUACGACUGUCCCUUUCCUUUACUACUGUCCCUUUCCUUCACUACCGUCCCUUUCCUUUACUACUGUCCCUUUCCUUUACUACUGUCCCUUUCCUUCUCUACUGUCCCUUUCCUUUACUGCUGUCCCUUUCCUUUACUGCUGUCCCUUUCCUUCUCUACUGUCCCUUUCCUUUACCGCUGUCCCUUUCCUUUACUACUGUCCCUUUCCUUUACUACUGUCCCUUUCCUUUACUGCUGUCCCUUUCCUUUACUACUGUCCCUUUCCUUUACUGCUGUCCCUUUCCUUUACUACCGUCCCUUUCCUUUACUACUGUCCCUUUCCUUCACUACUGUCCCUUUCCUCUUUACUACUGUCCCUUUCCUUUACUGCUGUCCCUUUCCUUCUCUACUGUCCCUUUCCUUUACCGCUGUCCCUUUCCUUUACCGCUGUCCCUUUCCUUCUCUACUGUCCCUUUCCUUCUCUACUGUCCCUUUCCUUUACCGCUGUCCCUUUCCUUUACCGCUGUCCCUUUCCUUUACUACCGUCCCUUUCCUUUACUACUGUCCAUUUCCUUCACUACUGUCCCUUCCUUCACUACUGUCCCUUUCCUUUACUACUGUCCCUUUCCUUUACUGCUGUCCCUUUCCUUUACUGCUGUCCCUUUCCUUUACUGCUGUCCCUUUCCUUCUCUACUGUCCCUUUCCUAUACUGCUGUCCCUUUCCUUUACUGCUGUCCCUUUCCUUUACUGCUGUCCCUUUCCUUUACUGCUGUCCCUUUCCUCUUUACUACUGUCCCUUUCCUUUACUACUGUCCCUUUCCUUUACUACUGUCCCUUUCCUUUACUACUGUCCCUUUCCUCUUUACUGCUGUCCCUUUCCUUUACCGCUGUCCCUUUCCUUCACUACUGUCCCUUUCCUUUACUACUGUCCAUUUCCUUCUCUACUGUCCCUUUCCUUCUCUACUGUCCCUUUCAUUCACUACUGUCCCUUUCCUUCACUACUGUCCCUUUCCUUCACUACUGUCCCUUUCCUUCACUACUGCCCCUUUCCUUCACUACUGUCCCUUUCCUUCACUUCUGUCCCUUUCCUUUACUAUUGUCCCUUCCUUCACUACUGUCCCUUCCUUCACUACUGUCCCUUCCUUCACUACUGUCCCUUUCCUUUACUACUGUCCCUUUCCUUUACUACUGUCCCUUUCCUUUACUACUGUCCCUUUCCUUUACUACUGUCCCUUUCCUUUAUUACUGUCCCUUUUCUUCACUACUGUCCCUUUCCUUAACUACUUUCCCCUUUCCUUUACUACUGUCCCUUUCCUUUACUACUGUCCCUUUCCUUCUCUACUGUCCCUUUCCUUUACUACUGUCCCCUUUCCUUUACUACUGUCCCUUUCCUUCUCUACUGUCCCUUUCCUUCUCUACUGUCCCUUUCCUUUACUACUGUCCCUUUCCUUUACUGCUGUCCCUUUCCUUUACUGCUGUCCCUUUCCUUCUCUACUGUCCAUUUCCUUUACUACCGUCCCUUUCCUUUACUGCUGUCCCUUUCCUUUACUGCUGUCCCUUUCCUUCUCUACUGUCCAUUUCCUUUACUACCGUCCCUUUCCUUCACUACUGUCCCUUUUCUUUACUACUGUCCCUUUCCUUCACUACUGUCCCUUUCCUUCACUACUGCCCCUUUCCUCUUUACUACUGUCCCUUGCCUCUUUACUACUGUUCCUUUCCUCUUUACUACUGUCCCUUUCCUUUACUACUGUCCCUUUCCUUUACUACUGUCCCUUUCCUCUUUACUUCUGUUCCUUUCCUCUUUACUACUGUCCCUUUCCUCUUUACUUCUGUUCCUUUCCUCUUUACUGCUGUCCCUUUCCUUUACUGCUGUCCCUUUCCUUUACUACUGUCCCUUUCCUUUACUACUGUCACUUUCCUCUUUACUACUGUCCCUUUCCUCUUUAUUACAGUCCCUUUCCUCUUUACUACUGUCCCUUUUCUUUACUGCUGUCCCUUGUCUUUACUACUGUCCCUUUCCUUUACUACUGUCCCUUUCCUUUACUACUGUCCCUUUCCUUUACUACUGUCCCUUUCCUUUACUACUGUCCCUUUCCUUUACUACUGUCCCUUUCCUCUUUAUUACAGUCCCUUUCCUCUUUACUACUGUCCCUUUUCUUUACUGCUGUCCCUUUCCUUCACUACUGUCCCUUUUCCUUUACUACUGUCCCUUUCCUUUACUACUGUCCCCUUCCUUUACUACUGUCCCUUUCCUUUACUACUGUCCCUUUCCUCUUUAUUACAGUCCCUUUCCUCUUUACUACUGCCCCUUUUCUUUACUACUGUCCCUUUCCCUUUACUACUGUCCCUUUCCUCUUUACUACUGUCCCUUUCCUUCACCACUGUCCCUUUCCUUCUCUACUGUCCCACUUUUACACUGCUUCUGAUGUUUUAUUUAUUUAUUCAGCAUUUAGUUAAACUAGGUAGCCUAGCGGUUGGGCCAGUAGCCGAAAGGUUGCUGGAUCAAAUCCCCGAGCUGACUAUGUGA
This 2604-nucleotide long non-coding RNA is filed under the name Oncorhynchus mykiss (rainbow trout). RNAcentral describes it as "lncRNA (ENSOMYG00000069991.1)". Lineage: Eukaryota; Metazoa; Chordata; Actinopteri; Salmoniformes; Salmonidae. The record is from RNAcentral.